Molecule: long non-coding RNA, 922 nt
Filed under: Homo sapiens (human)
Lineage: Eukaryota; Metazoa; Chordata; Mammalia; Primates; Hominidae
Description: HSALNT0343077
Source: RNAcentral
CUCUCUCCCGCCACUUUGUGAAGAAGGUGCCUGCUUCCCCUUCUGCCAUGAUUGUAAGUUUCCUGAGGCCUCCGAGCUAUGCAGAACUCUGACACCUUGUGUGGAAUUAAAGAAUGCAGAGAAUCAGUAUUAACUCUCGGGAUCCUGGACCUAGUGUAAAUGGAGCUCUCUACGAACUCUUCAGGAGUCCCUCAACUUACCCAUCAAAAUGUUUUACAGAUUGCAUCAUCUUGAGAUGAGCAGCUGCUUCAUCUUUGGUAAGAAGAAUGCAGUUCCAGGGGGACCACUCCAGGGAUUUAUUCCAUCUGACCAUGACCAGAUCACUGAGAUUGUCGCAAGCACUGAGGACUGACUGGGACGCCCAGAUGUUCUCUGUCAGGAGAAAUCUGACUAAUACAACAUGGAAUAUUGAGCCAGCACUUCUUGGUGACUUACAUUAAAGCCCUAGUACAUCUAAGAUUCUCUACAAGGAAAUAUACAUCUGUCAUGUCAAUAAUUCCUGAAUAAAAGUAGCAAAUAAGAAUUUAAGCUGAAAUAAACAUCAAAUUUAUUAACAAAAUAUUCAUUCUAUUGGACAAAAUAUGUAAUCAUUUUAAUUUGUGCUUUUCAAACUGUGGGUUGCUACCUCUUGGGUGAUACCAAAGUUUUCCAAAUGGAAAUCAGAAUAAGUAGACUGAGAUUGAAUAGAAAAUAUCAGAGUACAUCCAUAGGGGUAAAGAUAAACACUAUUUUGGAAACUUUUAUUUCUGAGGCAGAACAGCAUGUGUUUACAUGUACGGAUGCUGGGAAUCAGACUGCCUAGUUUUCAAUCCUGGUGCUGGUACUUAGUAGCGUAAACUUGGACAAGUUAGUUAACCACUCAGUGCUUCCCUUUCCUCACCUGCAGAAUGGAAAUAAUGCCUAUUUUGAUAGGAUUUUUGUG